GGUUAAGCUACUAAGAGCACACGGAGGAUGCCUAGGCGCUAGGAGCCGAUGAAGGACGUGGCGAACAACGAAACUGCCUCGGGGAGCUGUAAGCAAGCUUUGAUCCGGGGGUGUCCGAAUGGGGAAACCCGGCUGUGGUAAUACGCAGUCACCGCUGCCUGAAUAUAUAGGGCAGUGGGAGGCAUACCAGGGGAACUGAAACAUCUAAGUACCCUGAGGAAGAGAAAACAAGAGUGAUUCCGUCAGUAGCGGCGAGCGAACGCGGAACAGCCUAAACCAGAGAGCUUGCUCUCUGGGGUUGUGGGACGUCUCACAUGGAGUUACAAAGGAAUAUAUUAGACGAAGAGGUCUGGAAAGGCCCGCCAGAGAAGGUAAAAGCCCUGUAAUUGAAAGUGUGUUCCCUCCGAGACGGAUCCCGAGUAGUGCGGGGCACGUGAAACCCCGUAUGAAUCUGCCAGGACCAUCUGGUAAGGCUAAAUACUCCCUAGCGACCGAUAGUGAAGCAGUACCGUGAGGGAAAGGUGAAAAGCACCCCGGAAGGGGAGUGAAAUAGAACCUGAAACCGUGUGCUUACAAAAAGUCAGAGCCCGAUCUAUGGGUGAUGGCGUGCCUUUUGUAGAAUGAACCGGCGAGUUACGUUCCCAUGCAAGGUUAAGGCGAGAAGCUGUAGCCGUAGCGAAAGCGAGUCUGAAUAGGGCGCUUAAGUAUGUGGACGUAGACCCGAAACCGUGUGAUCUACCCCUGUCCAGGAUGAAGGUGCGGUAACACGCACUGGAGGUCCGAACCCACGUAUGUUGAAAAAUGCGGGGAUGAGGUGGGGGUAGCGGAGAAAUUCCAAUCGAACUCGGAGAUAGCUGGUUCUCCCCGAAAUAGCUUUAGGGCUAGCCUCGGAAUUUAAGAGUCGUGGAGGUAGAGCACUGAUUGGGUGCGGGGCCCGCAAGGGUUACCAAGCUCAGUCAAACUCCGAAUGCCAUAGACUUAUAUCCGGGAGUCAGACAGUGAGUGCUAAGAUCCAUUGUCAAGAGGGAAACAGCCCAGACCAUCAGCUAAGGUCCCCAAGUGUGUGUUAAGUGGGAAAGGAUGUGGAGUUGCACAGACAACCAGGAUGUUGGCUUAGAAGCAGCCACCAUUUAAAGAGUGCGUAAUAGCUCACUGGUCGAGUGACUCUGCGCCGAAAAUGUAACGGGGCUAAACACACCACCGAAGCUAUGGCUUGAAUCGACUUCACUGCUUCUUUGAGGUAGUGAAGACUUGGGAAACAUUUUUGUCAGACUUCAAAUGAAAUGAAGGAUGACCAAAUGCACUCAGGGGAUAAACACGUUGAUAAACGUGUCCACCUGAAUGAACAUUUUGAUCGGAAAGCCAGAAAACAGGCUGACGAUGAAAUGCACUCAGGGGAUAAACACACUUCGAAGGCGGAGUGAAGUCGAUUCAGGGGUAGGGGAGCGUUGUAUGUAGGUUGAAGGUGUACCGUAAGGAGCGCUGGACAGCAUACAAGUGAGAAUGCCGGUAUGAGUAACGAAAAGAUCAGUGAGAAUCUGAUCCGCCGAAAGCCCAAGGUUUCCUGAGGAAGGUUCGUCCGCUCAGGGUAAGUCGGGACCUAAGGUGAGGCCGAAAGGCGUAAUCGAAGGACAACAGGUUGAAAUUCCUGUACCACCGUAAACCGUUAUGAACGAUGGGGUGACGCAGGAGGGUAGUGACGCGGACUGAUGGAUGUCCGUCCAAGCAGUGAGGCUGAUGUGUAGGCAAAUCCGCACAUCGUUAAGGCUAGGCUGUGAUGGGGAGUGAAAAUUAUAGUAGCGAAGGUCAUGAUCUCACACUGCCAAGAAAAGCCUCUAGUCAGGUGAAGGUGCCCGUACCGCAAACCGACACAGGUAGGCGAGAAGAGAAUUCUAAGGCGCGCGGAAGAACUCUCGUUAAGGAACUCGGCAAAAUGACCCCGUAACUUCGGGAGAAGGGGUGCCCCGGUAGUGUGAAUAGCACGAGGGGGCCGCAGUGAAAAGGCCCAAGCGACUGUUUAACAAAAACACAGGUCUGUGCGAAGCCGUAAGGCGAAGUAUACGGGCUGACGCCUGCCCGGUGCUGGAAGGUUAAGGGGAGUGGUUAGGAGCAAUCCGAAGCUAUGAACCGAAGCCCCAGUAAACGGCGGCCGUAACUAUAACGGUCCUAAGGUAGCGAAAUUCCUUGUCAGGUAAAUUCUGACCCGCACGAAUGGCGUAACGAUUUGGGCGCUGUCUCAACGAGAGAUCCGGUGAAAUUUUAAUACCUGUGAAGAUGCAGGUUACCCGCGACAAGACGGAAAGACCCCAUGGAGCUUUACUGCAGCUUGAUAUUGGAUUUGGGUACGAUCUGUACAGGAUAGGUGGGAGCCUAAGAAACAGGAGCGCAAGCUUCUGUGGAGGCGCCGUUGGGAUACCACCCUGAUCGUAUCUAGGUUCUAACCUAGUACCGUAAACCGGUGCGGGGACAGUGUCUGGUGGGCAGUUUGACUGGGGCGGUCGCCUCCUAAAGAGUAACGGAGGCGCCCCAAGGUUCCCUCAGAAUGGUUGGAAAUCAUUCGAAGAGUGCAAAGGCAUAAGGGAGCUUGACUGCGAGACCUACAAGUCGAGCAGGGACGAAAGUCGGGCUUAGUGAUCCGGUGGUACCGCAUGGAAGGGCCAUCGCUCAACGGAUAAAAGCUACCCUGGGGAUAACAGGCUUAUCUCCCCCAAGAGUCCACAUCGACGGGGAGGUUUGGCACCUCGAUGUCGGCUCAUCGCAUCCUGGGGCUGAAGUAGGUCCCAAGGGUUGGGCUGUUCGCCCAUUAAAGCGGUACGCGAGCUGGGUUCAGAACGUCGUGAGACAGUUCGGUCCCUAUCUGUCGUGGGCGUAGGAAAUUUGAGAGGAGCUGUCCUUAGUACGAGAGGACCGGGAUGGACGUACCGCUGGUGCACCAGUUGUUCCGCCAGGAGCAUGGCUGGGUAGCUACGUACGGAAGGGAUAAGCGCUGAAAGCAUCUAAGCGUGAAGCCCCCCUCAAGAUGAGAUUUCCCAAUUAGUAAGACCCCUUGAAGACGACGAGGUAGAUAGGUUGGAGGUGGAAGUGCAGCAAUGCAUGGAGCUGACCAAUACUAAUCGGUCGAGGGCUUAUCCUA
This 3133-nucleotide ribosomal RNA is filed under the name Paenibacillus sp. N3/727. RNAcentral describes it as "23S ribosomal RNA". It matches the Rfam family "Bacterial large subunit ribosomal RNA". Lineage: Bacteria; Bacillati; Bacillota; Bacilli; Caryophanales; Paenibacillaceae. The record is from RNAcentral.